GUUUCUUCCACUUGGCCUAUUCUCCCUCUAACACGGUCACUAAGUGGAAAGCAUCUCCAUCUUUCAGAACGUGACUCAAGUGCCUUGGACUCCAGGGCCACCCCCCUGCUUCUGCUGUUUACCCCACCAGGUUACAAGCUCUCAACCUGUGAUGACUUAACCCUCAGGAGACAUUUGACCAUAUCUGUAGACACUUUUGGUCAUCACAACUUGCGUGUGUAUUGUUAGCCCUAUUGUAGGCCAGGGAGGCUGUUAGAACUACACAAUGCAUGGGGCAGUCCCUCCUGAAAGUGUGUGCCCAGAUGUUAAUUAUGCUGGGCCCUGGAAUAGGCUAAUGGAAUGUCCAAUGUUUGGCCUAAAAAGAUGUCCAACAACUAUUUAUGUAACGAGUGAGUGAUCGGAAUGACCUAGUAGUUAUAUAGUCUCUUACUGUAGGACUGGUUCUCUUUGAGGCCUUCAAAUCAGGUCUUAAGUUCACAAGCACAAGCUUGUCAUGCACAAGCACAUCGAAGAGGAUGGAAUAAAAUGUACACACGUAUCGAA
This 543-nucleotide long non-coding RNA is filed under the name Rattus norvegicus (Norway rat). RNAcentral describes it as "long non-coding RNA NONRATT025187". Lineage: Eukaryota; Metazoa; Chordata; Mammalia; Rodentia; Muridae. The record is from RNAcentral.